Molecule: non-coding RNA, 794 nt
Filed under: Ommatolampis quadrimaculata
Lineage: Eukaryota; Metazoa; Arthropoda; Insecta; Orthoptera; Acrididae
Description: 12S ribosomal RNA
Rfam family: Microsporidia small subunit ribosomal RNA (bases 344-785)
Source: RNAcentral
AAAAAGUUUUAUUCUUGCUUAAUUUUUCACUUGUUCUUUAUAUUAUAUGUAAGUUUUAGUUAAACUAAAUGUUCUUUUAGCAGUAAUUUAAUUUAAUAAGUCAAGUGAUUUUGGAUUUAGUAAUUGAUUUAUUAUCGGCAUAUUUCGUGCCAGCAGUCGCGGUUAUACGAUUGAUGAAAGUGAAUUUUAUUUGUUAGCAGUUAUUUAUUUUUUGUGUUUAAUUUGAAAUUUUUAUGGUGAAAUUUUAUUUUUUUUUUUGACUCUUUUUAUGAAUCUGUGAAACUUAAAUUGUAAACUAGGAUUAGAUACCCUAUUAUUUUAAGUGUAAAAUUUUUACUUACUUGGGUAUUAAUAGAUAAGGUCUUUAAACCUAAAGAAUUUGGCGGUAUCUUAUACCAUUCAGAGGAACCUACCCCGUAAUUGAUAAUACACGAUUAAUUUUACUUAAUUUAUUUGUUUGUAUAUCUCCGUUAUCAGAAAGUCUUUUUAGAGUUUAAAUUUUCUAAAUCCAUAAUUAUGGAUUAUUUCAGGUCAAGAUGCAAUUUAUAAUUAAGAGGAGGCGGGUUACAAUAAAUUUUUAUUUAUAAUGGAUUUGGUGAUGAAAUUUUUUAAUGAAGGUGGAUUUGAUAGUAAUUUGAUUUAUUUAAUUUAAUUGAUAUUGGCUCUGAGGUGUGUACACAUCGCCCGUCGCUCUCAUUACUAUUAAAUCAAUAAUUUUUAAUUUUGAUUUGAAAACUUAGAUGAGAUAAGUCGUAACAUAGUAGAUGUACUGGAAAGUGUAUCUAGAAAUAUUU